This 87-nucleotide transfer RNA is filed under the name Pseudomonadota bacterium. RNAcentral's name for it is "Proteobacteria bacterium (groundwater metagenome) tRNA-Leu". It matches the Rfam family "tRNA". Rfam says of the family: Transfer RNA (tRNA) molecules are approximately 80 nucleotides in length. Lineage: Bacteria; Pseudomonadati; Pseudomonadota. The record is from RNAcentral.
GCCUGGGUGGCGGAACGGGUAGACGCAAGGGACUUAAAAUCCCUCGGUCGCAAGGCCGUGCCGGUUCGAGUCCGGCCCUAGGCACCA